RNAcentral lists this ribosomal RNA (301 nucleotides) under uncultured bacterium. RNAcentral describes it as "partial 16S ribosomal RNA". It matches the Rfam family "Bacterial small subunit ribosomal RNA", at positions 509 to 808 of the family's 1533-position model. The record is from RNAcentral.
CAGCCGCCGCGGUAAUACGUAGGUCCCGAGCGUUGUCCGGAUUUAUUGGGCGUAAAGCGAGCGCAGGCGGUUAGAUAAGUCUGAAGUUAAAGGCUGUGGCUUAACCAUAGUACGCCUUGGAAACUGUUUAACUUGAGUGCAAGAGGGGAGAGUGGAAUUCCAUGUGUAGCGGUGAAAUGCGUAGAUAUAUGGAGGAACACCGGUGGCGAAGGCGACUCUCUGGUCCGUAACUGACGCUGAGGAGUGAAAGCGUGGGGAGCGAACAGGAUUAGAUACCCCCGUAGUCCCUGUCUCUUAUACA